Molecule: long non-coding RNA, 698 nt
Organism: Pan troglodytes (chimpanzee)
Lineage: Eukaryota; Metazoa; Chordata; Mammalia; Primates; Hominidae
Exons: 3
Source: RefSeq, a predicted model, not a curated record
CUAGGUGCCUGCAUAAACAUGAGCAGAUAAGAUGGGAGAAUGAAGGUAUUUGAAAUAUGUGGAUUUAAAGCAUCUAGUAAUGAUUAUGAAGAUGCUGAAGGGAUAUGGCUUUGGAUUACAGCAAUAGGCAAGAUGUUAUCUGUUAAUAGACUAAAGAACAGAGAAGUGAUUUCUGUGACUAUAGAGCAAUUUAAAGGAAGAGCUGAGAUUAAACAGUCCCACAUCUGCUUCACUGCUUUGGGUAUCAUUAUUUAUCUCAAUCUCCGGAGCCAUUGAGGACCAAGAUCAUACUUGCUGAAUAAAUGCACGGAACAGGAUCAGAGGAUAGACACAGAAUGGGCCAAGAAGAGAAAUAUUAUUCCUCAUAAGAGCUUGCUUGAUUGCAACCACCAAGGACAUCCGCAAACCAGGGCAAGAAGGACCAUCAGUAAUUCUUUCCCAUAAAUAGUGACAGGAAGAAAAUAAACGCCCUAUUCUUCAAUGAUUUGAACCACCUCUGGAGCACGAACUUCCUCUAAAUUCACAGGGCAAAUAUCCAUCAUGGGGCAGGUAUCUAUGCUGCCAUGGAAAGUAACAUAAAAUGUACUAAGUCAUCACAGGGAGUUUUAAUUUUGUUUUUAAGGUCAAUUGCCAUGCUGGGGUAAAAAGCAAUGAUCCUUGCCUUUUAUCACCGGAAAAAUUCUUCACCAGUACUUUGU